UACGUAGGGGGCAAGCGUUGUCCGGAAUCAUUGGGCGUAAAGCGCGUGUAGGCGGUUCGGUAAGUCGGCUGUGAAAGUCCAGGGCUCAACCCUGGGAUGCCGGUCGAUACUGCCGGACUAGAGUUCGGAAGAGGCGAGUGGAAUUCCCGGUGUAGCGGUGAAAUGCGCAGAUAUCAGGAGGAACACCGGUGGCGAAGGCGGCAUCCUGGACCGACACUGACGCUGAGGAGCGAAAGCCAGGGGAGCAAACGGG
Molecule: ribosomal RNA, 253 nt
Filed under: uncultured bacterium
Lineage: Bacteria
Description: partial 16S ribosomal RNA
Rfam family: Bacterial small subunit ribosomal RNA
Source: RNAcentral